GGAGCAUGUGGCUUAAUUUGACUCAACGCGGGAAAUCUUACCGGGUCCGGACACACUGAGGAUUGACAGGCAAUAUUAGCACUGCAUUCGUACUUUGUGCGUUUUGUUUGUGUUAUGUUAAAUAUGCUAGUCCUUUCAUGAUUAUGUGAUAGGUGGUGCAUGGCCGUUCUUAGUUCAUGGAGUGAUCUGUCUGCUUAAUUGCGUUUCACCAAGGGCCUAUUAUUUUACGUGUGUUGCGGCACUUUGACCCCUCUUUCUUAAGAGCGCGUGUCUUAUUUUUGCUUAGCUCGCACAAUUAGGUCCUGAAAGCAACGAAAGUGACCGCAACCUCUUGUUGCCUCUAUACCAAACGUUAACAUUGCAUUUCUUUGCUUUGAUACGCAAAGAGGCUUUUUAAACUAGAGGGACCGCUGUUUCUUUCUUAAACCAAAGGAAGGUUGCGGCAAUAACAGGUGGGGUAUUGCC
This 465-nucleotide ribosomal RNA is filed under the name Virgulina sp. Its description in RNAcentral is "SSU rRNA". It matches the Rfam family "Eukaryotic small subunit ribosomal RNA", at positions 1178 to 1471 of the family's 1831-position model. The record is from RNAcentral. Lineage: Eukaryota; Foraminifera; Rotaliida; Fursenkoinidae.